Long non-coding RNA from Dendrobium catenatum, 610 nucleotides. RefSeq lists it as uncharacterized. Lineage: Eukaryota; Viridiplantae; Streptophyta; Magnoliopsida; Asparagales; Orchidaceae. The transcript is spliced from 3 exons. The record is from RefSeq and is a predicted model, not a curated record.
ACUCGAGUCGGGCUCCACUCGUUUACACCGCAUGAGUCCGACUCCCGACUCUUCCGCUUUCAGCUUCCACGGAGCGCCUAGGGUUUAAGGAUCGAGCGACACAGCCCCAUGGGAAGGAGAUCUCCAUGUGAAGACCAGCCAAAACGACGUCAAGGUUCCUCUAAUCUGACUAUCGGCUAAGCUCAAGUGGCCACAUUAUGCUUUUUUAUGUUUCAUCUCAUCUCGCACGGAAAAUUCAAAAUUUCCAGAUUAGGAGCUUUUGGCUCAAGAUGUCAGAUUUCCUGCCCAAGAAUGAUGUCUGCAACCCUUCAAUUGGCAUGCCAUUAAUGCAAAUAAUAAUUUCAGAGAGCGCCUCAUUGCUUGAUAUGCAGGUGAAAAAAUUACUAUCAUUUGUUUCUAUUUGCCAUUUCCUUCAUGAUGAAGAUUAAUGAUGGUCCUCUUCUGAAAUUGCAGUGGAAGCUAACUGUUCCGAUAAUUUCUGAUGUACAUCUUGAUUGAUGAUGAAUUAAUGCAGGUUAAACCAGCAGUAAAUCAUUUUUUUUUUUAAACCAAGCCAGGAAAUUAUUUUAAAACAAGGGAGCAUCUUCACAAGGGAUUCAUAAAAGAAACC